ACAUAUACAAAUGUGAUCAGCAUCAAGUUUACAAUCAGAUAACAAGCUCCACAAGUGUACAAUCACAUGAGCCAGAUUCUGCUACAUCAUAUAACACACAUACAAAUAGGAGCAGCAUAAAGGGCUUCAUUACUCUCAGAACUAGCUCCAAUGAGCUAGAACUAUUCUUCCUCCGACUUCUUUGUCCUGAUGCUCACGAAGAAACAUGAAAGCCCAGCAUAUGCACGUUACAGAACAAAAUGUUUAGUAACAAAAUAGAAGUAAAUCUAACAGCAUAUUUAACAAUAAAUAACAGCAUAAUGAAGUUAAUGAGACAUUUUAGAAUCAACUUGACAGUUGACAAUAAUGUUUGCAUUGGACACAUCCAAAACUAAAAUUAUACGUAAAUACCUAAAUUCCAAUGCCCAAUGCCUCAGUUUAGUAAAUCUGCAGAUUCUAGACAAAUCUCAUCAUCCUAAAGACAACAAAGCCUGCUUGGUAAUAUUUUAUGUGUUAAUAAUGCUUUACACAUAAAAGAACAUUGCCAAAGUGAUUAGAUGGCAUUGGAAAACUCGAAAGAUAAGCCAUAUAGCUUUGUUUAAUAUUACUAAGAUAUAUAGCAAUUAGUUUGUUUUCACAUGGAACCCAAGAGUAUGUCACUCUAGCACCCUGAGAAAGAUGUUAAUAUGCCAUCAUACUAGCUGAUAGACAAACAUUCCCGGAAGAAUUGAUGCUUGUUUAAGGGAUUCAAUUGGUACUGCUAUCUCUAACAGACAAAUUUAAAGUUUUUAAUACAUUUUUCUAUUAGCAAAACUGAAUAUGCUACUUCCUGAUUCAUGGCUGCAUAGUCCAGCUAGCUACACACCAGUUUGCUCUCAUGCAAAAAUUAGAAAAAAAGAACAACAAAUAAAUCAACACUGAUUUCUCUAACACGUACAGUAACUUGCUGAUAUAACUUUCUCCUAAUUGCAUUCUCAUAUGACUGGGCCAACAUGUGACGUUAUUAUUCGGUGUGCUAUUGGCCGAAGCAAAGGAAGCCUCACCCACACCUUGUACUAAUGCAACUAGCUUAAUUGAUUUUUCCUACUUAGAAAUAGUACUACACUUUGACUUGCUUCAACUCAGCCAGAAGCUUCAUACUAGCACAACCAGCAACAAACUAGCACUAGCCAAAACGAAUCAGGAGGCCAGCGAAGGGACACCAGGUCGAUCCCAUAAAUAAAAACACCAGCGAUUGAGAAACAUACCUGGACCCAGCCGCAAGCACAUCCGUUGAGAAAUCCACUUAAGC
Molecule: long non-coding RNA, 1270 nt
Filed under: Triticum aestivum (bread wheat)
Lineage: Eukaryota; Viridiplantae; Streptophyta; Magnoliopsida; Poales; Poaceae
Description: long non-coding RNA (TAES_LNC023936)
Source: RNAcentral